AGCCUUAUAGUCUAUAAUGAUUUAAAAUUGCAAAUUUUAAGGGGUAAUUAAAUUACUAAGGCUU
This 64-nucleotide transfer RNA is filed under the name Brahmaea certhia (owl moth). Its description in RNAcentral is "tRNA-Cys". The record is from RNAcentral. Lineage: Eukaryota; Metazoa; Arthropoda; Insecta; Lepidoptera; Brahmaeidae.